GUCCUUAAGCGCAAGGGAUAGCGCGUUGGACUUCUAAUCCAAAGGUCGUGGGUUCGAAUCUCAUUGGAAUGACC
Molecule: non-coding RNA, 74 nt
Organism: Trichonephila clavipes
Lineage: Eukaryota; Metazoa; Arthropoda; Arachnida; Araneae; Nephilidae
Source: the annotation of a GenBank genome assembly